UGUUAGUAGAUUUAGCAAUGCUGCAGUAAGUGAAGAGUUGAUCACCCCCCACCUGUUCAUAUGAAUUGCUUGGGAACAGAACAGAUUGGCAUCUAGCUGAAUUAGGCUGAGAUACAUAAUCGUUGCAAGGCUCUUUGGGCUGCUGGUAAUGGAUUUGCAGAAGAGAUUAGGUUGAUGGUUUCAACAAUGAAGAAGUCGAUCUUUGAUGAACAAACUAACCAGGCCUUAAGGAAAUUGCAAAAGAAUGCUCAAAAGAAGAGAAGGCAUCAUGAUGUGGUUCG
Molecule: long non-coding RNA, 281 nt
Filed under: Rosa chinensis
Lineage: Eukaryota; Viridiplantae; Streptophyta; Magnoliopsida; Rosales; Rosaceae
Description: sRNA RchiOBHm_Chr6g0275761
Source: RNAcentral